UUUACUUCAAGAGAUAUUUAUAUUCCAUUGAGAUGAAGGAAAUCAAAGAUAAUAUUAAACUUUUAGAUAUAACCUACCAGUGUAAGGGUUUUUCUAAAGUAAACAGCAUUUUAAAUCUCCAUGGUAACCUGUGACGAUGUAAAAACUUUAAAUCAUUACAAGCCAGAGAGAGCGGUCAUUUCUGAGGAUCAAAUCUGAAGAGAACAGCACGGAAAACUUAAGUGGCUCACGAACUUACAACUUUUGACGGCUUCAUCAUAAAUAAAACCUCACCAGACGACUAAGGACUCCGGCAAACACCUUCGAGAAACACCUGAACAAAGAGGACAACAUCUACGACAUGGAGACCGUAAGAUUUCAUGAUAAUAUUAUCAUACAAACUUGUGUUACUGUCGAGACUUUCGUGAUGCAUCGACAAGAAUUAAAUGUGUGCAUGGAUAUUUACAGUGUUUAUGACUUUAAUGUGACAGGCAUUAUCAAAAUUAACCGAAAAUAAGUGAACAUAGGCGUUUUUUUUGUGUGUGUUACUGUCGAGACGUUCGAAUGGUUAGCUUAAAAGUGAUGCAUUGACAUCACAUGAAAGUCCUGCCCACCAUGUCAAAGACUCUUUGUGCUUAAGAGCAGAAAAGCUCAUGUUAUUGUGCGAAAUCUCUCUAAGAGAUUUUUUAUGUCUUCUGGGCUAUUUAAAGCCGUCAGUCUGAAACUUAUUUGACAGUUUCUCCUUAUACUAACCAAUGCUAUCAGGUGAAAACUAUAAACACAAGCAAUUUUCACACGUAUUACAGCGAAAGAGGCACAUUAAAGGAGUGAAAUGUGGUGUUAAAAUAAGGGACACCUUCAUAACUUUAAAGAAUGACAGUCAUCAUAAAAUUCGACAAAAUAAACUAAAAAGACAUAAUAGUUAGACCUAUUUAUAAAUGCUCUAAUAGGCCUAGGUAACCAAAAAAAUCCUAUGAAUUACAUUUGAACCUAUUUAAAAAGUUACAAAACAGACAAAAUUAAGUUAAAAGUAAUGUCUUAUGUACAGCCUUUAAAAUGAAGAGUUCGAUAAUGUUCCACUGAAAUAUGUUUUCAUGUUUUCAUGGAUCAAGUGUGUGUGUUUUUCUACCACAAUAUUUAAAAUUUCAAUUAUGGGAAAAAUUCACUAAGUGUUAUCGAACCACUGUACUUUUGUGGAAGUCAGUUUUUUAUCAAACUGAAAACAGAGGAUUUUCUUAUUUAAUCCUGAAAAAGUCUUUUUCCCAAUAAAAUAAAAUGACUGAAAUAGACAUACCAAAAAUAUAAAUUCUUAAUAGUGGGUGUUGCAUUGAUGUUAAUCUAUUUCUAUUGCACAAUUAACCUGCUGAUUAGAGACUAAAUUCAAAUUAAAAUGUAUUGACUGUCUCUUCUUGAUGAUACUGAUGUUACAGAUGCUUCCUUCAUGACCUUGACCACACAGUCAAAUGUUUCAGCUUGUUUAAUUUAAAUGUCUGUGUUGUUUCUGUCUUCAGACCAGCCGACGCUUCACACGGACUUGGUCCUUGUGCACAGCUUCCACUGGUCCUGUCCCAAGCCGAUCUUGAAGAGGGUCGUGGCAACACCCAUGUCCCGUUCCAAGCCAAGCUGUGUAAGUAGGAAACCACACUGACAACAUAGAUUGGCCAUUAGCAUGCCCUCAAAACAACGUACAAAACUUUUAUAGUCUGAAUGAUUUUAAUUACAGAAAUAUGUUUAUGAAUUUGUCUUUUUUAAUUUUAAUUUUCUUUAACAUUAAUUUAUUUCAAAGAUGUGAAACCUUCCCCUGGAAAAAUAAUUUCUGCAGACUUCAGAUUUUAUAAUUUGUUGGUUUUUCUGUCUCAGGUCCGAGUGUAGCAGUACAGCCUCGUCCAGAACCAGGAUAAGUCCACUCCUCGGCUGUUACUGAGGAAGGUCCCACCGAUGUUCGGCCCUCCACGUUUCUCCUCCCCCAAGCUCAACCAGGUAAGUCACUCUCACUCCUCUUCUGUCUCUCCCUCUUUCUU
Molecule: long non-coding RNA, 2000 nt
Filed under: Xyrichtys novacula (pearly razorfish)
Lineage: Eukaryota; Metazoa; Chordata; Actinopteri; Labriformes; Labridae
Source: RNAcentral